Long non-coding RNA from Populus nigra (black poplar), 1694 nucleotides. RefSeq lists it as uncharacterized. The record is from RefSeq and is a predicted model, not a curated record. NCBI's taxonomy places the organism in Eukaryota, Viridiplantae, Streptophyta, Magnoliopsida, Malpighiales, Salicaceae. The transcript has 3 exons.
UUUUAUUUUCAAGUUUAUAGAGUUGCACAAUCUCCAUAAAUAAAUCACAAUCUCUAUAACUAAAACACAGAUUUGUGGCACCAGGAUUGGCUGGCGACAUAAGCUGGUUGAAGGGAAGCAGAGUCCGCAGACAUUCACCAAACGUUUGGGCUGCAAAGUUGUGAGGUCUUGUGGUCAAAGAUGGGCAUGCAUGAUUGUCUCAAACUGUUGAGGAACUAUGGAGCGGAUGUGGGCUUCGUGCAUUGAAGCUACGCAAUCUCUUUCUUCGAAUACUAUCGGAUUCUGACUUGGUACUGCUGUUUGUGGGUAAAUAACACUUAAAACCAUGUUACAAAAGCUGGACAAUCAUCAAUCCUCAGCAGUGGCAACUUUAUCAUUGGGUAUCCUUGCUCUCAGCCAAGCCAACUCUGCAAAUCCGAAGUUGAUUCCAAUAAUUCGGCUUCCAACCCUACUUCUUCAGCUUGGUGGUCCUUGAUUAAUUGUCACAGCUUAUUCUAUGGAAGACAACGAAUUAUAGCAAAGGCACCUUCUUGAGCUAGCAGUCCAAGUCGGUGUGGCUUCUUAUGUCUUGUUCAGGUUACGGAGCAGGAAUGCCAUCAUGCUAGUAGCCAUUCCCGUCUUUAUUUCAGGAAUAAUCAAGUAUGGAGAAAGGAUACGGGCUUUCAGGUUAAUUAGCAAGUUCCCAGACUUUUGAGCACUACACAGACAAUCAAUUAUUCUUCCAGCCACGCUUCUGUUAGAACAUCGCUUCCGAAUUUGUAUGCACCAACAGCGUAUGAGGAUAGAUAUCUCUAUGAAGCUCGUCUUUUGUUCAGGAUGCUGUUCACAAAUUUAGUUCUUGGCAUUGAUGAUCAAAAGAAAACCUACGAUUUGAUUUCCAAAAAGAAUAUAUACCAAAUUAAGAAGGCUUAAGUUGAUAGAAGUCCAGGUGGGAAUAUUCAUGUAUGAUCUGCACUAUUCUAAGGUGAAAAAGGUUUCUUUUCCACGCAUCAGCCUCCAUUCUAUCACCUUCUUAUCCUCUGUUUCUGCAUUAGUUGCCUUCUCAACAAUAACCACAAAGAAGAACGUCUAUUCUAAUAGCGAUACGAUGCUAUCUUACUUGUUGCUGCUCGGAGCUAUCUUGCUUGAGAGUUAAUCUAUCAUCGUGUUUUUUUGGUCGGACAAGACAGUGCUUUGGCUUAGUAGUGGUCAGAUAGCGGGUAAUUUUCUUUAUGGAACCAAUGGUUUGUUUAAGAAUCACAAAAGAUAGUCAGGAUCCAUGGCUCAACAUGACCUAAUUCUAAGUACCCUGUUUAGUAAACCAGUGAUCAAGGUUCUUAGCAAGCAUUUGCCUGGAAAACUGGAACGUUCAUGGCAGGGAGGAUGUGGAUGAUGCUUUAAAAGAAUUGAUCUUCAUCAAUCAUGCCUUGCAUAAACGUUCAAGGAUACCAGUGAUUUCAACGUCCUGAAGCAGCUAUAAUAAUUAGCAGAGAGAGGUGACGUGGCACAUUUCGAAGGAAGGAUUUCUUUGAAAAAAUUGGAUGGAGGGUGGUUGGUGUAGAAUUCAUUAAUAGCCUCCUUUCGUGGCACAUUGUUACUCGUGUCUGUUAUUGUUGGGUCUGUGAUAAAUUGUGUCCUUGAGUGGGAGAAAAUAAAUAGCCAUGUAAUUAUUUCAUAUAAAAUUUUAAUGCUGUUAUAUUUCAGUGUAAGGUUUA